RNAcentral lists this unclassified non-coding RNA (391 nucleotides) under fungal sp. RNAcentral's name for it is "partial internal transcribed spacer region". The stretch from base 1 to 46 matches the Rfam family "Eukaryotic small subunit ribosomal RNA", at positions 1786 to 1831 of the family's 1831-position model. Lineage: Eukaryota; Fungi. The record is from RNAcentral.
AAGUCGUAACAAGGUUUCCGUAGGUGAACCUGCGGAAGGAUCAUUAACACGUAUCCAACGUUAAAACCCCUGUGAACUUUCAGCCUGCUCUUGUGGCCCGUGUGAAGCAGCAAUUCCGGUAAAUCAAGUGGGAACCUCUGCUCCAUAUGCGCACGCUGCAAUUGAGCGGUAGAAGCAGUGGCAUGGCGUCCCCAAGCCUCCAGUGAAUGAAAGUGUCACUGGAAAGUGUAAGGAUAACGCUUCUCGGUUGCUAGAGGUCGAUCACCGACCGGCAGACAUGCUACAGGGUCACCGCGCCCCUAAUCACUCCCUCUGAAAAGUAUGACGGCGCCGUUGAAAUGCCGCGCUAAAAAAAACCGAACAACUGUUAACAAUGGAUAUCUUGGUUCUC